UGUGCCCUCCCUUCUUUUGGUCAUGUAAUAUUGACACAUCCAGAGUGGUUAAAGCAGUGUGGACAACGGUCUGCCUACCAAAGGAAGGUGGUCUCGGUAUGAGCGGUAUGAGAAUCUCUAAGUUUAGAAUCGUGUAUUAUAACUUGAACUCUGUCCGGUGUCCCAUUUACUGAGAUGAUUAAUAUUAAAAGAAAAACGUAAGUUUUAUUUAGUUUUGUUUAGAAAGACUAAUGACAUUUUGGUUGAAGUAAAGAUUAAGGAAACAUAAGAUUUGGUUGAUAUAUAAGAAGUAUUGUCAUCGAGAAAAGUAAGAGAGAGAAAAGCAGAGAAAAAAGUAGAUCGAGAUCUUCCCUCUCCGGUGUCCGACGAUCUUUGCUGGCGCCGUGAGAGGGUGGGUUACUGUCUUUUGUUCUGAUUUAGGAGGCAUGAAGAUUGUGAUUUUCUGGUGAGUCGCGUUUGGAUUGGUUUGUUUAUGUCGGUUCCUAUCUAGUUUCUGGUACGCGGUGGUUGUACUCAGCCGGUUCAGAUGUGGAUGCUUAAGUUUUCUCGGAUCUGGUCAGACAACCUUCCAAGCGAGGCAUCAGAGGUCAUAGGUCUUCCUAUCAUCUUCACUGCCUUUUGUCCUUUGCGUUCUUUUAGUGAGAAGAACUCUUAUUUCUUUAAAACGGCCGGUUAUCUUCUCCGGCGACCUGGCUUCCGUGUAUCGGGCUUCGACUCUGGCUUAUGGUGGCUACUUUAGCAUUGUUCGUUCCCGGUGGAUUAGCGGAUUUGAAAUUACGCCGGUCACUUUCUAGUCAUGAAGUUCGAUGGUGCUCUUGAUUCAGGUAACACGCUAAAGGUUAACGCAUGGAUGUGGGUUGAAUGGAUUGCGUUGGGCUUUAUUUUGUUUGGAAUUUAUGGGCCUCUUUGUUUAAUGUUCGUUUUGUUGCUAGCCGAGAUUUAUGGACUUUGUAUUUGUAUAACUUCGGUCGGUUUAUGGGCUUUAGCCUCGUAAUAAUAUAGAUGACAAAAAAAAAAAGUAUUGUCAUCAUUGCAUCGAAA
Molecule: long non-coding RNA, 1041 nt
Organism: Brassica napus (rape)
Lineage: Eukaryota; Viridiplantae; Streptophyta; Magnoliopsida; Brassicales; Brassicaceae
Exons: 2
Source: RefSeq, a predicted model, not a curated record